This 471-nucleotide unclassified non-coding RNA is filed under the name Hevea brasiliensis (rubber tree). The record is from RNAcentral. Lineage: Eukaryota; Viridiplantae; Streptophyta; Magnoliopsida; Malpighiales; Euphorbiaceae.
AAAACAACUGUGGAAUGAUUAGCAAUGUGCAAGCUGAAUUGUCCUCCCUUUUCACUCACAUCAAUCUUCCUUGUCCCGGAUGGAGCUUUCAUCUCAAAGUUUGAUACCAAUUUCGCUAUCACAAGCCCUAGAAUUGGUAAUGCUAGUAUGAUCCCCGGGCAGCUGCGUCUACCCAUACCAAAUGGCAAGUACCGAAAAUCGACCUUUCCUCCGGCGACAGCUUCCGUGCCACAUUCUUCUUCAAAAAAUCGCUCUGGCCUGAACUCCUCCGGAUUCUUCCACCAUUGAGGGUUAUUAGCUAACCACCAUGCAUUGACCACCACCUUGGAUUCUCUAGGAAUUGUAAAACCCCCUAAUUUUGCUUCUUCAAGGUUCAUAUGUGGUACUAGCAAGGGAAUUGGGGUAUGCAACCUUAAUGUCUCUUUUACUGUGGCCUGCAAGUAAGGUAAUUCAUGUAGGUUUGAUUCUGUG